This 1549-nucleotide ribosomal RNA is filed under the name Escherichia coli. RNAcentral's name for it is "partial 23S ribosomal RNA". It matches the Rfam family "Bacterial large subunit ribosomal RNA", at positions 1291 to 2823 of the family's 2925-position model. Lineage: Bacteria; Pseudomonadati; Pseudomonadota; Gammaproteobacteria; Enterobacterales; Enterobacteriaceae. The record is from RNAcentral.
CGAAUGCUGACAUAAGUAACGAUAAAGCGGGUGAAAAGCCCGCUCGCCGGAAGACCAAGGGUUCCUGUCCAACGUUAAUCGGGGCAGGGUGAGUCGACCCCUAAGGCGAGGCCGAAAGGCGUAGUCGAUGGGAAACAGGUUAAUAUUCCUGUACUUGGUGUUACUGCGAAGGGGGGACGGAGAAGGCUAUGUUGGCCGGGCGACGGUUGUCCCGGUUUAAGCGUGUAGGCUGGUUUUCCAGGCAAAUCCGGAAAAUCAAGGCUGAGGCGUGAUGACGAGGCACUACGGUGCUGAAGCAACAAAUGCCCUGCUUCCAGGAAAAGCCUCUAAGCAUCAGGUAACAUUAAAUCGUACCCCAAACCGACACAGGUGGUCAGGUAGAGAAUACCAAGGCGCUUGAGAGAACUCGGGUGAAGGAACUAGGCAAAAUGGUGCCGUAACUUCGGGAGAAGGCACGCUGAUAUGUAGGUGAAGUCCCUCGCGGAUGGAGCUGAAAUCAGUCGAAGAUACCAGCUGGCUGCAACUGUUUAUUAAAAACACAGCACUGUGCAAACACGAAAGUGGACGUAUACGGUGUGACGCCUGCCCGGUGCCGGAAGGUUAAUUGAUGGGGUUAGCGGUAACGCGAAGCUCUUGAUCGAAGCCCCGGUAAACGGCGGCCGUAACUAUAACGGUCCUAAGGUAGCGAAAUUCCUUGUCGGGUAAGUUCCGACCUGCACGAAUGGCGUAAUGAUGGCCAGGCUGUCUCCACCCGAGACUCAGUGAAAUUGAACUCGCUGUGAAGAUGCAGUGUACCCGCGGCAAGACGGAAAGACCCCGUGAACCUUUACUAUAGCUUGACACUGAACAUUGAGCCUUGAUGUGUAGGAUAGGUGGGAGGCUUUGAAGUGUGGACGCCAGUCUGCAUGGAGCCGACCUUGAAAUACCACCCUUUAAUGUUUGAUGUUCUAACGUUGACCCGUGAUCCGGGUUGCGGACAGUGUCUGGUGGGUAGUUUGACUGGGGCGGUCUCCUCCUAAAGAGUAACGGAGGAGCACGAAGGUUGGCUAAUCCUGGUCGGACAUCAGGAGGUUAGUGCAAUGGCAUAAGCCAGCUUGACUGCGAGCGUGACGGCGCGAGCAGGUGCGAAAGCAGGUCAUAGUGAUCCGGUGGUUCUGAAUGGAAGGGCCAUCGCUCAACGGAUAAAAGGUACUCCGGGGAUAACAGGCUGAUACCGCCCAAGAGUUCAUAUCGACGGCGGUGUUUGGCACCUCGAUGUCGGCUCAUCACAUCCUGGGGCUGAAGUAGGUCCCAAGGGUAUGGCUGUUCGCCAUUUAAAGUGGUACGCGAGCUGGGUUUAGAACGUCGUGAGACAGUUCGGUCCCUAUCUGCCGUGGGCGCUGGAGAACUGAGGGGGGCUGCUCCUAGUACGAGAGGACCGGAGUGGACGCAUCACUGGUGUUCGGGUUGUCAUGCCAAUGGCACUGCCCGGUAGCUAAAUGCGGAAGAGAUAAGUGCUGAAAGCAUCUAAGCACGAAACUUGCCCCGAGAUGAGUUCUCCCUGACCCUU